CCACGGUGAAUACGUUCCCGGGUCUUGUACACACCGCCCGUCAUACCAUGGAAGUUGGUUCCGCCUUAAGUCGGCCCUGAAAAGCCGCCCACGGCAGGGUCAAUGACUGGGGUA
Molecule: ribosomal RNA, 114 nt
Filed under: uncultured bacterium
Lineage: Bacteria
Description: partial 16S ribosomal RNA
Rfam family: Bacterial small subunit ribosomal RNA
Source: RNAcentral